Long non-coding RNA from Sphaeramia orbicularis (orbiculate cardinalfish), 898 nucleotides. RefSeq lists it as uncharacterized. The transcript is spliced from 2 exons. NCBI's taxonomy places the organism in Eukaryota, Metazoa, Chordata, Actinopteri, Kurtiformes, Apogonidae. The record is from RefSeq and is a predicted model, not a curated record.
UUUUUGCACUUGGCAAAAACAUCCCAGGGGCCGAACUGGACCCUUUGGCGUGCCACAUUUGGUCCCCGGGCCGCAUGUUUGACACCCCUGCUCUAAAGUUUCCUACAGAGGUAAUAAUUCAAACAGCUGAUAUCGUAAAACCAUUACAUUAAAAGGGCCAAGUUGAAGUUCAUGCUGAAAAGUAAAUCAAACCUUCACAGUGUCAUUCCAGUCUUAAUAUAAACAUGGCAGCUCUUUGUGAUAAUAAUUCUCUUACAAAAUUGUACAUUUAAGGUGAAACACAAAGCACUUGCCUUUUGUAAAAUCAGUCUUCUGUCAGUCGAGACUUUAAAAACUUUAAAAACCUCUUUAAAAGUGUAAUUUUGACCCUGCAUUUCAUGACUAAUGUCAACAGUUUUUUUACUUGAAUUGAUGGUUGUUUGGUUUUAAUGUGAAAAUCCGAAUGAAUGUUCAUGAUAGGUUUGUACACUGGGAGAAGAUCCAAAGUGAGAAUGUAAAUCAGAAAACUACUUGUAAAACUACGUUCAGUGAAAUGAACCAGACCUGUGAAAGCUGUGAGGCGCUGUCCAGAAGAUAUCUUUUCCUUUUAAUUUCUUUUCAAACCUCCCAAUAGUUUCAAUCCCAGGAAAAGCCCCUUACUCACUUUUGGACGGUAGUUUUUCUACAGUACUCUGACAAUAAGAGUUUGUCUCGCGCUGUAAAACUGCAUGUGAGAAGCAGUCUGUGAAUUGUUUGUGGGUUAGAAUACUAUGUCUUGCUGCUGCUGCUGUUUUUAGACAUUUCUGAAGCUCGUGUAGAAAGUUGUUCUUUAUGUCAAUAAACGAUGAAAUGUGUUAUGGGGGCGGGAUCUGAUGUCGACUGCACAUGAGACAUCAGCUCUUCCCAUAACAGAAUAUCA